RNAcentral lists this ribosomal RNA (492 nucleotides) under uncultured bacterium. Its description in RNAcentral is "partial 16S ribosomal RNA". It matches the Rfam family "Bacterial small subunit ribosomal RNA", at positions 29 to 507 of the family's 1533-position model. The record is from RNAcentral.
AGUGAACGCUGGCGGUAGGCCUAACACAUGCAAGUCGAACGGCAGCACAGUAAGAGCUUGCUCUUACGGGUGGCGAGUGGCGGACGGGUGAGGAAUACAUCGGAAUCUACUUUUUCGUGGGGGAUAACGUAGGGAAACUUACGCUAAUACCGCAUACGACCUACGGGUGAAAGCAGGGGAUCUUCGGACCUUGCGCGAUUGAAUGAGCCGAUGUCGGAUUAGCUAGUUGGCGGGGUAAAGGCCCACAAAGGCGACGAUCCGUAGCUGGUCUGAGAGAAUGAUCGGCCACACGGGAACUGAGACACGCACCAGACUCCUACGGGAGGCAGCAGUGGGGAAUAUUGGACAAUGGGCGCAAGCCUGAUCCAGCCAGACCGCGUGGGUGAAGAAGGCCUUCGGGUUGUAAAGCCCUUUUGUUGGGAAAGAAAAGCAGCAGGUUAAUACCCCGCUGUUCUGACGGUACCCAAAGAAUAAGCACCGGCUAACUUCGUG